This 511-nucleotide ribosomal RNA is filed under the name Staphylococcus epidermidis. RNAcentral describes it as "bacterial LSU rRNA". It matches the Rfam family "Bacterial large subunit ribosomal RNA", at positions 786 to 1300 of the family's 2925-position model. Lineage: Bacteria; Bacillati; Bacillota; Bacilli; Caryophanales; Staphylococcaceae. The record is from RNAcentral.
ACGUUGAAAAGUGAGCGGAUGAACUGAGGGUAGCGGAGAAAUUCCAAUCGAACUUGGAGAUAGCUGGUUCUCUCCGAAAUAGCUUUAGGGCUAGCCUCAAGUGAUGAUUAUUGGGGGUAGAGCACUGUUUGGACGAGGGGCCCCUCUCGGGUUACCGAAUUCAGACAAACUCCGAAUGCCAAUUAAUUUAACUUGGGAGUCAGAACAUGGGUGAUAAGGUCCGUGUUCGAAAGGGAAACAGCCCAGACCACCAGCUAAGGUCCCAAAAUAUAUGUUAAGUGGAAAAGGAUGUGGCGUUGCCCAGACAACUAGGAUGUUGGCUUAGAAGCAGCCAUCAUUUAAAGAGUGCGUAAUAGCUCACUAGUCGAGUGACACUGCGCCGAAAAUGUAACGGGGCUAAACAUAUUACCGAAGCUGUGGAUUGUCCUUUGGACAAUGGUAGGAGAGCGUUCUAAGGGCGUCGAAGCAUGAUCGCAAGGACAUGUGGAGCACUUAGAAGUGAGAAUGCCGG